AACGCACAUUGCGCCCGCUGGUACUCCGGCGGGCACGCCUGUCCGAGCGUCAUUUCAACCCCUCAAGCCCUCCCUUCCGGGACCGGGCCUGGUGUUGGGGCCCGGCCGCCUCCCCCGGCGGCCGUCCCCGAAAUGCAGUGGCGGUCACGCCGCGAAUCCCUUGCGUAGUAGAAACACCUCGCACCGGAGAGCGACGCGGUCCACGCCGUGAAAACCCCCCAACUUUCAAUGGUUGACCUCGGAUCAGGUGGGAAUACCCGCUGAACUUAA
RNAcentral lists this unclassified non-coding RNA (270 nucleotides) under uncultured fungus. RNAcentral's name for it is "partial contains 5.8S ribosomal RNA, internal transcribed spacer 2, and large subunit ribosomal RNA". Lineage: Eukaryota; Fungi. The record is from RNAcentral.